CUGGCCCUAAACGAUGAAUACUUGGUGUCUGGAACUAUUAAGUUCUGGGUGCCGUCGCUAACGUUUUAAGUAUUCCGCCUGGGGAGUACGCUCGCAAGAGUGAAACUCAAAGGAAUUGAC
This 120-nucleotide ribosomal RNA is filed under the name uncultured bacterium. RNAcentral describes it as "partial 16S ribosomal RNA". It matches the Rfam family "Bacterial small subunit ribosomal RNA", at positions 796 to 914 of the family's 1533-position model. The record is from RNAcentral.